AUAGGACUACUGAAACACAAGGUGAAGAGAACUAUUAGGCAAUUGAGUGCAUUCCCUGCAGGGCUGCUCCCACUUCUAUCUGACUUGGGUCUAGAUGACUCAAGUGAUUCCCGAGGGGAAAAUAAUCUAUGUGGAACAGCUGUCAUGAGCAGGCCUUCUGUGGCUCUUCAGCCUCAAUUUCAGCCUGCUACUUCCCGUGACAUCAUUCAGUGAUUCCUCCCUUUAAGGGGACAGUUUUCUCUUGUAUUACAGGUGACUGCUUGAAGGUGGCUAGAUGAGACCAUACUGCCACCACUCUUUAUUUGGAGGCCUGUAACCUGUCUUGAGUGUGUCGCAGGAAGACUCAGUUACAGUGUUCCCUGAAUAUGUAGCUUUCCAUUACAAUAGUAUGCAAGCCAAGAUGAAACCACCUCUGUUUGGGUUUCAGCAGCUGUCUGCCUACGGAAGGCUCCAGAGUCCCUGACGCAUAUUUAUAUCUCCACUUCACUGAAGUCACAAGGAACAAACACGUUCACAGGAAGCACCUGGCACACAGUAACUAUUAUUA
RNAcentral lists this non-coding RNA (547 nucleotides) under Pongo abelii (Sumatran orangutan). Lineage: Eukaryota; Metazoa; Chordata; Mammalia; Primates; Hominidae. The record is from RNAcentral.